CCUCAUGCCAUCAGAUGUGCCCAGAUGGGAUUAGCUAGUAGGUGGGGUAACGGCUCACCUAGGCGACGAUCCCUAGCUGGUCUGAGAGGAUGACCAGCCACACUGGAACUGAGACACGGUCCAGACUCCUACGGGAGGCAGCAGUGGGGAAUAUUGCACAAUGGGCGCAAGCCUGAUGCAGCCAUGCCGCGUGUGUGAAGAAGGCCUUCGGGUUGUAAAGCACUUUCAGCGGGGAGGAAGGCGGUGAGGUUAAUAACCUCAUCGAUUGACGUUACCCGCAGAAGAAGCACCGGCUAACUCCGUGCCAGCAGCCGCGGUAAUACGGAGGGUGCAAGCGUUAAUCGGAAUUACUGGGCGUAAAGCGCACGCAGGCGGUCUGUCAAGUCGGAUGUGAAAUCCCCGGGCUCAACCUGGGAACUGCAUUCGAAACUGGCAGGCUAGAGUCUUGUAGAGGGGGGUAGAAUUCCAGGUGUAGCGGUGAAAUGCGUAGAGAUCUGGAGGAAUACCGGUGGCGAAGGCGGCCCCCUGGACAAAGACUGACGCUCAGGUGCGAAAGCGUGGGGAGCAAACAGGAUUAGAUACCCUGGUAGUCCACGCCGUAAACGAUGUCGAUUUGGAGGUUGUGCCCUUGAGGCGUGGCUUCCGGAGCUAACGCGUUAAAUCGACCGCCUGGGGAGUACGGCCGCAAGGUUAAAACUCAAAUGAAUUGACGGGGGCCCGCACAAGCGGUGGAGCAUGUGGUUUAAUUCGAUGCAACGCGAAGAACCUUACCUGGUCUUGACAUCCACAGAACUUACCAGAGAUGCAUUGGUGCCUUCGGGAACUGUGAGACAGGUGCUGCAUGGCUGUCGUCAGCUCGUGUUGUGAAAUGUUGGGUUAAGUCCCGCAACGAGCGCAACCCUUAUCCUUUGUUGCCAGCGGUCCGGCCGGGAACUCAAAGGAGACUGCCAGUGAUAAACUGGAGGAAGGUGGGGAUGACGUCAAGUCAUCAUGGCCCUUACGACCAGGGCUACACACGUGCUACAAUGGCAUAUACAAAGAGAAGCGACCUCGCGAGAGCAAGCGGACCUCAUAAAGUAUGUCGUAGUCCGGAUUGGAGUCUGCAACUCGACUCCAUGAAGUCGGAAUCGCUAGUAAUCGUAGAUCAGAAUGCUACGGUGAAUACGUUCCCGGGCCUUGUACACACCGCCCGUCACACCAUGGGAGUGGGUUGCAAAAGAAGUAGGUAGCUUAACCUUCGGGAGGGCGCUUACCACUUUGUGAUUCAUGACUGGGGUGAAGUCGUAACAAGGUAACCGUAGGGGAACCUGCGGUUGGAUCACCU
This 1324-nucleotide ribosomal RNA is filed under the name Klebsiella pneumoniae. RNAcentral describes it as "bacterial SSU rRNA". It matches the Rfam family "Bacterial small subunit ribosomal RNA", at positions 211 to 1528 of the family's 1533-position model. Lineage: Bacteria; Pseudomonadati; Pseudomonadota; Gammaproteobacteria; Enterobacterales; Enterobacteriaceae. The record is from RNAcentral.